UACGUAGGGGGCAAGCGUUGUCCGGAUUUAUUGGGCGUAAAGAGCUCGUAGGCGGCUUGGCAAGUCGGGUGCGAAAACUCCAGGCUCAACCUGGAGAUGCCACUCGAGACUGCUAUGGCUAGAGUCCGGUAGGGGACCACGGAAUUCCUGGUGUAGCGGUGAAAUGCGCAGAUAUCAGGAGGAACACCGGUGGCGAAGGCGGUGGUCUGGGCCGGCACUGACGCUGAGGAGCGAAAGCGUGGGGAGCAAACAGG
This 254-nucleotide ribosomal RNA is filed under the name uncultured bacterium. RNAcentral describes it as "partial 16S ribosomal RNA". It matches the Rfam family "Bacterial small subunit ribosomal RNA", at positions 524 to 776 of the family's 1533-position model. The record is from RNAcentral.